Long non-coding RNA from Lontra canadensis (Northern American river otter), 555 nucleotides. RefSeq lists it as uncharacterized. NCBI's taxonomy places the organism in Eukaryota, Metazoa, Chordata, Mammalia, Carnivora, Mustelidae. The record is from RefSeq and is a predicted model, not a curated record. The transcript has 3 exons.
GUCUUCGUGCCUAUUGGAGGACCCAAAUAAGGACUUCGGGUGACCGAGUAGAAACAAAUGCCAUGGCAUUUAGAAACGAAGAACAAGAAGCCAAAGGGAAAAUGUCUCAUGCCUAUUAACAGUAUGAUGUGAGUGUGAAUUUACUGGAGCACAAGUCAAAACCUGGGAUCUGUGUUGUAACUGUGGGAACUGACAGACUUGCCAAAACUUGUAUUGACUGAAACACAACUCUUCCUUUCUAAGCAUAUUCAGCAGUCCUGGAUAUUCUGAUGUAUCUACUUUCAAGCUUCUUGCAAAGAUAUUCCCCACGUCUGAAUAAUGGAGCUUCCCAUGCAAUUUCCCAAGCCUGAGCCCUGGGAGAUGCUGAGGACACUUAAUACCUUCAUUCCCCAGGAAGAAGAGAAAGCACCAGAGUGUGGAAGAAAGGGUUUGGGCUUCGUGCACAGGCCUCCAGUGAGAAGGGGACCUAAGUCUUUGAGCAUUUUGCCAGCUAGCUUAUCUGAUAAGGCAAGAAUGAGAAUCAUUUUCUAGGAAACGAUGGUAAUUUAAACAUUU